RNAcentral lists this ribosomal RNA (492 nucleotides) under uncultured bacterium. RNAcentral describes it as "partial 16S ribosomal RNA". It matches the Rfam family "Bacterial small subunit ribosomal RNA", at positions 29 to 507 of the family's 1533-position model. The record is from RNAcentral.
AGUGAACGCUGGCGGUAGGCCUAACACAUGCAAGUCGAACGGCAGCACAGUAAGAGCUUGCUCUUACGGGUGGCGAGUGGCGGACGGGUGAGGAAUGCAUCGGAAUCUACUUUUUCGUGGGGGAUAACGUAGGGAAACUUACGCUAAUUCCGCAUACGACCUACGGGUGAAAGCAGGGGAUCUUCGGACCUUGCGCGAUUGAAUGAGCCGAUGUCGGAUUAGCUAGUUGGCGGGGUAAAGGCCCACCAAGGCGACGAUCCGUAGCUGGUCUGAGAGGAUGAUCAGCCACACUGGAACUGAGACACGGUCCAGACUCCUACGGGAGGCAGCAGUGGGGAAUAUUGGACAAUGGGCGCAAGCCUGAUCCAGCCAUACCGCGUGGGUGAAGAAGGCCUUCGGGUUGUAAAGCCCUUUUGUUGGGAAAGAAAAGCAGCAGGUUAAUACCCCGCUGUUCUGACGGUACCCAAAGAAUAAGCACCGGCUAACUUCGUG